CUGCCUUUGAUGUCCUGCCCCCAGCUCGGAGCCUCCUGAAGGGAAUUCCAGGGCUGCCUGACAGCUGUGGGCAUCUCCCAGUGCAGGCAGGCACCAGCCACCAGGGUUACAGGGCUCCCCCUAAACCCGAAUCAGUGCCAGCUUGUCUGUGACAUCCUGGGUGUCCCCAAAAUCCGAGGCACGCUGGGGAUGGGGAGGGAGCAGCCUCGCACAUCCCCGCACGCCGAUCGCUGCUCGGUGGGAAAGCGCUGAUGGAGCAGCAGCGGGCAGGAGCUGGAAGGCGAUGCUGGAAGCAGCAACGAGGAGUUUCGAGGCUGAUUUUGGGAGUUUCGAGGCUGAUUUCGGGAGUUUCAUGGCGUUUGCCCGGGGUGGAACGGGAGGGGAGCGCUGCUGCCCCAGCCCUGCCCGAGGGCACCGGCGGCGAGCAGGACCAGGGGAUUCGGAUGAUGGGAAGCGUUUUCCACGGGCGUUCCACUGCUGUCAGCCAUUUUAGCUUCUGAAUCCUAUUUCCCUGGUGCUUCCGAGAGAGGCUUUUGGGGGAGUCCCCAGCUAAAACUCAAAUUUGCAUUUAAAUGGAGAUUUUUUUUUUUUUUUUUAAUGAGCAGGAUGCAUGGGAGACUAAGACUAUUAGGUUUCCUUGUGGGAGAGUGCAGAAUUCUCUCACCUUUUACAUCCCACCCCCUCCCCAGCCCCUUUAAUGCACACUUUAAAUUAGACAUAAAAAAAAAAAAAAAGGAAUGGUGCGUCUUUAAGGAGAAUAUAAUCAUAAACAAAUAAGUCUGGUUGCCCUUGCAGCAGAACUAAUCUUCCCUCA
Molecule: long non-coding RNA, 814 nt
Organism: Zonotrichia leucophrys gambelii
Lineage: Eukaryota; Metazoa; Chordata; Aves; Passeriformes; Passerellidae
Exons: 3
Source: RefSeq, a predicted model, not a curated record